AUUGAACGCUGGCGGCAUGCCUUACACAUGCAAGUCGAACGGCAGCAUGAUCUUGCUUGCUAGAUUGAUGGCGAGUGGCGAACGGGUGAGUAAUACAUCGGAACGUGCCCUGUAGUGGGGGAUAACUAGUCGAAAGAUUAGCUAAUACCGCAUACGACCUGAGGGUGAAAGUGGGGGACCGCAAGGCCUCAUGCUAUAGGAGCGGCCGAUGUCUGAUUAGCUAGUUGGUGAGGUAAAGGCUCACCAAGGCGACGAUCAGUAGCUGGUCUGAGAGGACGAUCAGCCACACUGGGACUGAGACACGGCCCAGACUCCUACGGGAGGCAGCAGUGGGGAAUUUUGGACAAUGGGCGAAAGCCUGAUCCAGCAAUGCCGCGUGUGUGAAGAAGGCCUUCGGGUUGUAAAGCACUUUUGUCCGGAAAGAAAUGGCUCUGGUUAAUACCUGGGGUCGAUGACGGUACCGGAAGAAUAAGGACCGGCUAACUACGUG
Molecule: ribosomal RNA, 490 nt
Filed under: uncultured bacterium
Lineage: Bacteria
Description: partial 16S ribosomal RNA
Rfam family: Bacterial small subunit ribosomal RNA
Source: RNAcentral